CAACAACGCUGGCGGCAGGCUAACACCUGCAGUUGAGCGCGCCUUUCGGGGUGAGCGGCGGACGGGUUAGUAACGCGUGGGAACGUACCCUUUUCUGCGGAAUAGCCUCUGGAAACGGAGAGUAAUACCGCAUACGCCCUUCGGGGGAAAGAUUUAUCGGAGAAGGAUCGGCCCGCGUUAGAUUAGAUAGCUUGGUGGGGUAACGGCUUACCAAGUCUACGAUCUAUACCUGGUUUUAGAGGAUGAUACAGCAACACUGGGACUGAGACACGGCCCAGACUCCUACGGGAGGCACGCAGUGGGGAAUCUUGGACAAUGGGCGCAAGCCUGAUCCAGCCAUGACCGCGUGAGUGAAGAAGGCCUUAGAGGUCGUAAACGCUCUUCUCGCCUGUGAUUGAUAAUGACAAGUAGCAGGUAAAAGAAAACCCGAGGAUAACUCCGUGCCAGCAGCACGCGGUAAAUACGGACGAGGGGU
RNAcentral lists this ribosomal RNA (475 nucleotides) under uncultured Paracoccaceae bacterium. RNAcentral's name for it is "bacterial SSU rRNA". It matches the Rfam family "Bacterial small subunit ribosomal RNA", at positions 32 to 535 of the family's 1533-position model. The record is from RNAcentral. Lineage: Bacteria; Pseudomonadati; Pseudomonadota; Alphaproteobacteria; Rhodobacterales; Paracoccaceae.